Molecule: ribosomal RNA, 433 nt
Filed under: uncultured bacterium
Lineage: Bacteria
Description: partial 16S ribosomal RNA
Rfam family: Bacterial small subunit ribosomal RNA
Source: RNAcentral
AGCGAACGCUGGCGGCAGGCUUAACACAUGCAAGUCGAGCGGGCCCUUCGGGGUCAGCGGCAGACGGGUGAGUAACGCGUGGGAACGUGCCCUUCGGUUCGGAAUAACUCAGGGAAACUUGAGCUAAUACCGGAUACGCCCUUAUGGGGAAUGGUUUACUGCCGAAGGAUCGGCCCGCGUCUGAUUAGCUAGUUGGUGAGGUUAUGGCUCACCAAGGCGACGAUCAGUAGCUGGUCUGAGAGGAUGAUCAGCCACACUGGGACUGAGACACGGCCCAGACUCCUACGAGAGGCAGCAGUGGGGAAUAUUGGACAAUGGGGGCAACCCUGAUCCAGCCAUGCCGCGUGAGUGAUGACGGCCUUAGGGUUGUAAAGCUCUUUUCUCCGGGACGAUAAUGACGGUACCGGAGGAAUAAGCCCCGGCUAACUUCGUG